UAUGACUCUCGGCAAUGGAUUCUUGGGUCUUGCCUCCAUGAAGAGCGCCCCGAAAUUGAUACGUGGUGGAAAUUCAGAAUCCCGUGAACCCUCGAGUUUUUGAACGCAAGUUGCGCCUGAGGCCCACUGGCCGAGGGCAUGUCCGCCUGGGUCUCAUGC
RNAcentral lists this ribosomal RNA (159 nucleotides) under Microtis alboviridis. RNAcentral's name for it is "5.8S ribosomal RNA". It matches the Rfam family "5.8S ribosomal RNA". From Rfam's summary of the family: 5.8S ribosomal RNA (5.8S rRNA) is a component of the large subunit of the eukaryotic ribosome. It is transcribed by RNA polymerase I as part of the 45S precursor that also contains 18S and 28S rRNA. The record is from RNAcentral. Lineage: Eukaryota; Viridiplantae; Streptophyta; Magnoliopsida; Asparagales; Orchidaceae.